Molecule: long non-coding RNA, 275 nt
Organism: Orcinus orca (killer whale)
Lineage: Eukaryota; Metazoa; Chordata; Mammalia; Artiodactyla; Delphinidae
Exons: 3
Source: RefSeq, a predicted model, not a curated record
CGGCUCUGUCAAUCAAGAGCUCUAGGAAAGGAUUGGCCCCUAGCAAUCAGCCCGCAGCCUGUUCAGCAAGAUUGGGACACAGAUCUUUUCCAGAUACCCUCACUAUUUUUUCUCAUCUGUAUUUUGUCUGGGUAGACAUGGACCAACAAGGGAGAGGUGAAAGCACGUAGCACAUUACCUGGCACUUAGUCUGACAAAAUUAUAUUUGAUGAAUUGACCUGAAAACUGACAAAAGAAAACUCACUCUGUUUUUUCCUCUGUGAUAAUAUUGCUUG